UAUUCCCGUUGUCACGGACGGUGAAGUGAUUGAAAAUGAACUCAGUGGAGUGACAACUGCAGUGUAGUGGUAUUCAUAAUCGCAAUGUUUAUAGUGCAACAUCGGAAGCCACAAACUGUCACAUGCUGCGUUCGUUGUUCUUUCUAACAUAUGAAAGUAGAAGAGUAUUCAUUACUUAUUUGCUUAAUUGUUGCUAAAAAGGUGGGAUAGUUCAGUUUUUAUUUCAAUCAUGAGCGUGGAACUUUGGUUUGAUACUGACAGUGAAGACGACGAGGAGUAUGCCAAUCUUGCCGUAGAACGUAGGCGUAUAAGGGAUUACUCUAAUCCACUAGAUCAAACAGAAAAAUCUUUUGUCAAAUUGUUUAGAGUGUCAAAAGACAUUUUUUCACACCUGCUGGAAAUCAUUGAUACGAAACUGAAACCAUCUAGUCAUUCAACUGCAGUUUCUCCAUUGAUUAUGCUAGCGGCUUCUUUGAGGUUCUUUUCCGAAUGAAGUUAUCAGAAGGGUGUUGGGAAUGAUCGAUUGGCGCAACCUACGAUGUCAAAAGUAUUGCAGUUGGUUUUGGACAUACUUGAGAAGGAAAUAUGCCCCGUCGAAAUCGUUUUCCCAACCGACGAACGUGAAAAGCAUAUCAUAAAACAGGGCUUUUACGAACAAACGGGAUUUCCAGGAGUCAUCGGUUGCGUAGACGGAACCCAUGUGAGCAUAAUAGCUCCAACUCAUGACAAACACCUAUUUUACAACCGAAAAGGGUUCUACAGUCUAAAUGUUAUGUUGGUAUGUGAUCACAAUCUGUUGAUCCGAUAUGUGGACGCCAAUCAUCCGGGUUCCUCUCACGAUUCAUUUGUUUGGAAUGGAAGUGUACUAAAUCAAUUAUUGCAACAGGAAUAUACAAACGGAGAGAGAAACUCUUGGUUACUUGGUGACGCUGGCUACCCCCUAACACCAUUUCUGAUUACACCUUUUCGUACUGGAGAACAAACCGAUGAACGACAGACAAGAUUCAACGGAAUACAUUUUAAGACCAGGAUUACUGUGGAAUGAUCAAUCGGAGUGUUUAAGAAUACUUUCAGAUGUAUGUUGAAAGAACGACAGUUGCAUUACCAGCCGGAAAAAGCAACUCAAAUCAUCAACGUGUGUGUUGCGCUACAUAACCUCAGAAUCAGAUAUAAAAUGGAUUUGGAUGAACCGGAGCUGAAUGACGAAGCGGAUGAGGAUUUUGUAGAUAUUGACGCGAAUUAUGAAAAUGCAAUUAGAAUCAGGGAAGAAAUCAUGCAUA
Aedes aegypti (yellow fever mosquito) is the source of this 1280-nucleotide long non-coding RNA. RefSeq lists it as uncharacterized. NCBI's taxonomy places the organism in Eukaryota, Metazoa, Arthropoda, Insecta, Diptera, Culicidae. The transcript has 4 exons. The record is from RefSeq and is a predicted model, not a curated record.